CGUAAUAGCUCACUGGUCGAGUCGGCCUGCGCGGAAGAUGUAACGGGGCUAAACCAUGCACCGAAGCUGCGGCAGCGACGCUUAUGCGUUGUUGGGUAGGGGAGCGUUCUGUAAGCCGUUGAAGGUGUCCUGUGAGGGGUGCUGGAGGUAUCAGAAGUGCGAAUGCUGACAUAAGUAACGAUAAAGCGGGUGAAAAGCCCGCUCGCCGGAAGACCAAGGGUUCCUGUCCAACGUUAAUCGGGGCAGGGUGAGUCGACCCCUAAGGCGAGGCCGAAAGGCGUAGUCGAUGGGAAACAGGUUAAUAUUCCUGUACUUGGUGUUACUGCGAAGGGGGGACGGAGAAGGCUAUGUCAGCCGGGCGACGGUUGUCCCGGUUUAAGCAUGUAGGCGGAGGUUCCAGGUAAAUCCGGUACCUUGUUAACGCUGAGGUGUGAUGACGAGGCACUACGGUGCUGAAGUGAUAAAUGCCCUGCUUCCAGGAAAAGCCUCUAAGCAUCAGGUAACACGAAAUCGUACCCCAAACCGACACAGGUGGUCAGGUAGAGAAUACCAAGGCGCUUGAGAGAACUCGGGUGAAGGAACUAGGCAAAAUGGUGCCGUAACUUCGGGAGAAGGCACGCUGAUAUGUAGGUGAAGUCCCUGCGGACGGAGCUGAAAUCAGUCGAAGAUACCAGCUGGCUGCAACUGUUUAUUAAAAACACAGCACUGUGCAAACACGAAAGUGGACGUAUACGGUGUGACGCCUGCCCGGUGCCGGAAGGUUAAUUGAUGGGGUUAGCGGCAACGCGAAGCUCUUGAUCGAAGCCCCGGUAAACGGCGGCCGUAACUAUAACGGUCCUAAGGUAGCGAAAUUCCUUGUCGGGUAAGUUCCGACCUGCACGAAUGGCGUAAUGAUGGCCAGGCUGUCUCCACCCGAGACUCAGUGAAAUUGAACUCGCUGUGAAGAUGCAGUGUACCCGCGGCAAGACGGAAAGACCCCGUGAACCUUUACUAUAGCUUGACACUGAACACUGGUCCUUGAUGUGUAGGAUAGGUGGGAGGCUUUGAAGCGUGGACGCCAGUCUGCGUGGAGCCAACCUUGAAAUACCACCCUUUAAUGGCUGGUGUUCUAACGUAGACCCGUAAUCCGGGUUGCGGACAGUGUCUGGUGGGUAGUUUGACUGGGGCGGUCUCCUCCCAAAGAGUAACGGAGGAGCACGAAGGUUGGCUAAUCCUGGUCGGACAUCAGGAGGUUAGUGCAAUGGCAUAAGCCAGCUUGACUGCGAGCGUGACGGCGCGAGCAGGUGCGAAAGCAGGUCAUAGUGAUCCGGUGGUUCUGAAUGGAAGGGCCAUCGCUCAACGGAUAAAAGGUACUCCGGGGAUAACAGGCUGAUACCGCCCAAGAGUUCAUAUCGACGGCGGUGUUUGGCACCUCGAUGUCGGCUCAUCACAUCCUGGGGCUGAAGUAGGUCCCAAGGGUAUGGCUGUUCGCCAUUUAAAGUGGUACGCGAGCUGGGUUUAGAACGUCGUGAGACAGUUCGGUCCCUAUCUGCCGUGGGCGCUGGAGAAUUGAGGGGGGCUGCUCCUAGUACGAGAGGACCGGAGUGGACGCAUCACUGGUGUUCGGGUUGUCAUGCCAAUGGCACUGCCCGGUAGCUAAAUGCGGAAGAGAUAAGUGCUGAAAGCAUCUAAGCACGAAACUUGCCCCGAGAUGAGUUCUCCCUGAGACCUUGAGUCUCCUGAAGGAACGUUGAAGACUACGACGUUGAUAGGUCGGGUGUGUAAGCGCAGCGAUGCGUUGAGCUAACCGAUACUAAUGAACCGUGAGGCUUAACCUU
This 1817-nucleotide ribosomal RNA is filed under the name Enterobacter sp. MGH 9. RNAcentral's name for it is "bacterial LSU rRNA". It matches the Rfam family "Bacterial large subunit ribosomal RNA", at positions 1133 to 2925 of the family's 2925-position model. Lineage: Bacteria; Pseudomonadati; Pseudomonadota; Gammaproteobacteria; Enterobacterales; Enterobacteriaceae. The record is from RNAcentral.